UGGGGAAUAUUGCACAAUGGGCGCAAGCCUGAUGCAGCCAUGCCGCGUGUGUGAAGAAGGCCUCGGGUUGUAAAGCACUUUCAGCGAGGAGGAAGGUGGUGAACUUAAUACGUUCAUCAAUUGACGUUACUCGCAGAAGAAGCACCGGCUAACUCCGUGCCAGCAGCCGCGGUAAUACGGAGGGUGCAAGCGUUAAUCGGAAUUACUGGGCGUAAAGCGCACGCAGGCGGUUUGUUAAGUCAGAUGUGAAAUCCCCGGGCUCAACCUGGGAACUGCAUUUGAAACUGGCAAGCUAGAGUCUCGUAGAGGGGGGUAGAAUUCCAGGUGUAGCGGUGAAAUGCGUAGAGAUCUGGAGGAAUACCGGUGGCGAAGGCGGCCCCCCUGGACGAAGACUGACGCUCAGGUGCGAAAGCGUGGGG
RNAcentral lists this ribosomal RNA (419 nucleotides) under uncultured bacterium. Its description in RNAcentral is "partial 16S ribosomal RNA". It matches the Rfam family "Bacterial small subunit ribosomal RNA", at positions 355 to 766 of the family's 1533-position model. The record is from RNAcentral.